This 253-nucleotide ribosomal RNA is filed under the name uncultured bacterium. RNAcentral describes it as "partial 16S ribosomal RNA". It matches the Rfam family "Bacterial small subunit ribosomal RNA", at positions 524 to 776 of the family's 1533-position model. The record is from RNAcentral.
GACGUAGGGCGCGAGCGUUGUCCGGAUUUAUUGGGCGUAAAGAGCUCGUAGGCGGUUUGUCGCGUCUGCUGUGAAAGUCCGAGGCUCAACCUCGGAUCUGCAGUGGGUACGGGCAGACUAGAGUGUGGUAGGGGAGACUGGAAUUCCUGGUGUAGCGGUGGAAUGCGCAGAUAUCAGGAGGAACACCAAUGGCGAAGGCAGGUCUCUGGGCCACAACUGACGCUGAGGAGCGAAAGCAUGGGGAGCGAACAGG